This 207-nucleotide ribosomal RNA is filed under the name uncultured bacterium. RNAcentral describes it as "partial 16S ribosomal RNA". It matches the Rfam family "Bacterial small subunit ribosomal RNA", at positions 568 to 774 of the family's 1533-position model. The record is from RNAcentral.
CACGUAGGCGGUUUGGAAAGUCAGAUGUGAAAUUUCGGUGCUCAACACCGAAGCUGCAUAUGAAACUAUCAGACUUGAGUAUAGGCGGAGGAAACAGAAUUCCAUGUGUAGCGGUGAAAUGUGUAGAUAUAUGGAAGAAUACCGGUGGCGAAGGCGGUUUUCUAGCUUAUUACUGACGCUGAGGUGCGAAAGCGGGGGGAUCAAACA